This 378-nucleotide ribosomal RNA is filed under the name uncultured eukaryote. RNAcentral describes it as "partial 18S ribosomal RNA". It matches the Rfam family "Eukaryotic small subunit ribosomal RNA", at positions 592 to 976 of the family's 1831-position model. The record is from RNAcentral.
CAAUAGCGUAUAUUUAAGUUGUUGCAGUUAAAAAGCUCGUAGUUGGAUUUCGGGUGGGACGCAGCGGUCUCGCAUUGCGUUUGUACUGCUGCAGCCCUCCUUCUUGCCGGGGGCGGCCUCUCGGACUUCACUGUCUGGGGGUCAGAAUCGGCGAUGUUACUUUGAGUAAAUUAGAGUGUUCAAAGCAAGCUUACGCUCUGAAUAUAAUAGCAUGGGAUAACACGACAGGACUCUGGCCUAUCGUGUUGGUCUAUAGGACCAGAGUAAUGAUUAAGAGGGACAGUCGGGGGCAUUCGUAUUCCGUUGUCAGAGGUGAAAUUCUUGGAUUUACGGAAGACGAACAUCUGCGAAAGCAUUUGCCAAGGAUAUUUUCAUUGA